GAUGAACGCUGGCGGCGUGCUUAACACAUGCAAGUCGAACGGUGAAGGCGGAGCUUGCUCUGCUGGAUCAGUGGCGAACGGGUGAGUAACACGUGAGCAAUCUGCCCCUGACUCUGGGAUAAGCGCUGGAAACGGCGUCUAAUACUGGAUACGAUCUGCGAAGGCAUCUUCAGCAGCUGGAAAGAAUUUCGGUCAGGGAUGAGCUCGCGGCCUAUCAGCUUGUUGGUGAGGUAAUGGCUCACCAAGGCGUCGACGGGUAGCCGGCCUGAGAGGGUGACCGGCCACACUGGGACUGAGACACGGCCCAGACUCCUACGGGAGGCAGCAGUGGGGAAUAUUGCACAAUGGGCGAAAGCCUGAUGCAGCAACGCCGCGUGAGGGAAGACGGCCUUCGGGUUGUAAACCUCUUUUAGCAGGGAAGAAGCGAAAGUGACGGUACCUGCAGAAAAAGCGCCGGCUAACUACGUG
RNAcentral lists this ribosomal RNA (468 nucleotides) under uncultured bacterium. RNAcentral's name for it is "partial 16S ribosomal RNA". It matches the Rfam family "Bacterial small subunit ribosomal RNA", at positions 28 to 507 of the family's 1533-position model. The record is from RNAcentral.